CGUGUAGGUGGGUAAGCAAGUCAGAUGUGAAAUUCCGGGGCUUAACUCCGGCGCUGCAUCUGAAACUGCGUAUCUUGAGUACUGGAGAGGAAAGUGGAAUUCCUAGUGUAGCGGUGAAAUGCGUAGAUAUUAGGAGGAACACCAGUGGCGAAGGCGGCUUUCUGGACAGUAACUGACACUGAGGCGCGAAAGCGUGGGGAGCAAACAGGAUUAGAUACCCUGGUAGUCCACGCUGUAAACGAUGAAUACUAGGUGUAGGGGGUAUCGAACCCCCCUGUGCCGCAGUUAACACAAUAAGUAUUCCACCUGGGGAGUACGGCCGCAAGGUUGAA
RNAcentral lists this ribosomal RNA (332 nucleotides) under uncultured bacterium. Its description in RNAcentral is "bacterial SSU rRNA". It matches the Rfam family "Bacterial small subunit ribosomal RNA", at positions 568 to 898 of the family's 1533-position model. The record is from RNAcentral.